CACCCGGGGAGCCAACUUUUGUUUCUGGGUACGCCAUACCCACUCAUGAGAACAUAAGAAGAAGACAACACGGAUGUAGAACGGGGAGUGCAAGUAAAAUAUAUAUAUUACAUUCCUUCUUCGUAGACGAAUUCUAGUUAGUUAAAACCAGAGAUUGAGAUUCUUUUGACAAUAAUAAUUCCGCUACUACAAGUCUACAAAAAUUUAUAAAUUACAGUCUUUGAAUUCGUUUCUUUCUGAGUGUUUAACGGCGGCGGCAGUGGAGAUUUUGGGGGCAAUUGAGAAAGUAGUAGCUGAGUACCAGGAGGAGAUAUCCCGAUCUAAAGAGGAGAUUGAUAGUCUACGGAGACAGCUAAGGAUUACACCGGAGAUAAAACUAUGUAGAACAGACUCCCAGCAGCUCUCUCUACCUGUCUCUGAAGAGGUUCCCUUUGAGCAACAACACUGUGCGCAGGAGUGUUACCCCACUCGUGGACAGGAGGAACCAGGGCCAUCACAGAUUAAAGAGGAAAAGGAGGAACUCAGGACCAGCCAGGAGGAAGAGCAGUUUCAAGGACUGGAGGGUAAUACCAUAGAGUUUAUAUUUAGUGGUCCCUGUGUAAAAAGGGAAUGGGAUCAUGAGGCCUUAAGCCGCAGCUCAACUGUAAUUAGUGACCAAGUAAAUAGACCACCAUUGGAUCCCAAACCACCAUUGGGGGCACACUGUUCUGAACUCAGCACCAUGUCUAAAAAAUCUCACUACUGCGGCAAAGUAUUUGCUCUGAAAGCUGACCUUCAGAGGCAUGUGACUCUCGCCAGGGAGAGACCUAUUGAAUGCCCCUACAACGCCACAUGUAAACUGAAGGCCCAUGUCCCACUCUGUCACGGUGGGAAACCCUGCCCUGUUUGUGGCAAGACCUUUAAAAACAAAGACCAUCUAUCCCAGCACAUGAGGAUUCAUACACAGAACAGCCAAUUUAGCUGUGGUGACUGCGGAAAAAGUUUCUAUAGCAAGGGGCUGCUGAACGUGCAUAUACAGACUCAUAAAGGAGAGAAACCAUUCAUCUGUGGAUACUGCGGGAAAAGCUUCUAUCAGAAGGGGAAUCUAAACCAACAUUUACGGACUCACACAGGAGAGAAACCAUUUAGCUGUGGUAUCUGCGGAAAAAACUUCAGUCGAAAAACGCACCUGAACAGGCAUAUCCUGACUCACACGGGUGAGAAACAGCAUGGCUGUUCUGUGUGUGGUAGGAGAUUCGCUGAGAAUGCUGACCUGCUGAAGCAUGUGGAUAAAGUCCACAAAUAACAAAACCAGGAUCAAAACCGAAUGGAGAAAGACAACCAGGACACAGACAUCUAUCAGAAGAUGGGAAUCAAAAGGGCAGGAUAUGGACAACACCAAACUGGAUCCUUCAUGCUGUAGGUUUGAAAUGAAUAGACCUACCCCGUUGAAACAUUAGCCAAUUAACAAUUAGGUUGUUUGUUUUUGAAUGUCUCAGUCAGGGUGAAGAGAGAAUUUUCAGACUGUUUAUACAUUAAAACAUUGAACUUUCCAGAAAAUGGUAUCCUUGAAUUUGAGUAUUUAUCUUGACCCAAUGGUCCAUUCUGUCCUAAUGCUGCUCAUCCAUGAUAUUGUAGCGAUAUAUCGUAGUUGGAAUACUUUUGCGGUGAAACUGCCACGUCCAUUGGUGAUAUUACAACAGAUGUUACUUCAAUGACUAACACUGCUUUUUUUUUUCUCACGGACAUUGUUGCACACUUGAUAGAACAGCAGAGUAUUUUACCACGAUGUUAAAUAAAUAAACAAAACAAUAACAAAUGUGCCUGUAGCAACCAGUUGCGCUGUUUCACCUUUCGCGGAUCUCAGCUUUAACCCAACACCUAGCAACCUCUUGGGACCUCUUGGUGUAACAGUUAAGGUGUUGGCUUGACAGUCGCUAGACCCCAGUUCGAGUAUCAUUGUGUAUUAAAGGCUCUGUCCCUUUAACUGUACACUCCUGUGUGUGCACCUUCUAUUUAUUAUGUAUUGUAAUGGAAACUGUUUACCAUUUGAAAAACCAAACAGAGCAAAGGGAACAAAACAGGGAGGGACCUAUCUAAAUGUGUCCAAUGAACUCUUGUUUUUGUUGCAAAAUGUUUUCAGUUUGUAGUAAACUAAUCGGCUUAAUGAAUA
Oncorhynchus kisutch (coho salmon) is the source of this 2152-nucleotide RNA transcript. It is a transcript of the gene named zinc finger protein 180-like, with no coding region annotated. The record is from RefSeq and is a predicted model, not a curated record. The transcript is spliced from 2 exons. Lineage: Eukaryota; Metazoa; Chordata; Actinopteri; Salmoniformes; Salmonidae.